RNAcentral lists this long non-coding RNA (262 nucleotides) under Hordeum vulgare. RNAcentral describes it as "long non-coding RNA (HVUL_LNC003685)". The record is from RNAcentral. Lineage: Eukaryota; Viridiplantae; Streptophyta; Magnoliopsida; Poales; Poaceae.
GGAAGAAGAACCAACCUCCUUGGAGGCAAAGUAUGGAUCUUAUUAUAUCCAAAAGGAAAACAAAUAAAGGAAUCGGAUUGAAUCUGAAAAAGAAAAGCAAAUGCAAAGAAGAAGAAGAACAAACCUCUUCGGAGGCAAAGGAAAAUCGGAUUGAUCCGACAAAGAAAAAAAAAUGCAAACAAGAAAAAUGCAUAUGGAUCCCUACAGGGGCAAAGAGCACCACCACCGAUCCAUUCGACGGCGGCGCGCUCACCGCAAGGGG